Molecule: ribosomal RNA, 484 nt
Filed under: uncultured bacterium
Lineage: Bacteria
Description: partial 16S ribosomal RNA
Rfam family: Bacterial small subunit ribosomal RNA
Source: RNAcentral
AUUGAACGCUGGCGGCAGGCCUAACACAUGCAAGUCGAGCGGAUGAAGGGAGCUUGCUCCUGGAUUCAGCGGCGGACGGGUGAGUAAUGCCUAGGAAUCUGCCUGGUAGUGGGGGAUAACGUCCGGAAACGGGCGCUAAUACCGCAUACGUUCUGAGGGAGAAAGUGGGGGAUCUUCGGACCUCACGCUAUCAGAUGAGCCUAGGUCGGAUUAGCUAGAUGGUGGGGUAAAGGCCUACCAAGGCGACGAUCCGUAACUGGUCUGAGAGGAUGAUCAGUCACACUGGAACUGAGACACGGUCCAGACUCCUACGGGAGGCAGCAGUGGGGAAUAUUGGACAAUGGGCGAAAGCCUGAUCCAGCCAUGCCGCGUGUGUGAAGAAGGUCUUCGGAUUGUAAAGCACUUUAAGUUGGGAGGAAGGGCAGUAAGUUAAUACCUUGCUGUUUUGACGUUACCAACAGAAUAAGCACCGGCUAACUUCGUG